GACGAACGCUGGCGGCGUGCUUAACACAUGCAAGUCGAACGGAAAGGCCCUGCUUUUGUGGGGUGCUCGAGUGGCGAACGGGUGAGUCACACGUGAGUAACCUGCCCUUGACUUUGGGAUAACUUCAGGAAACUGGGGUUAAUACCGGAUAUGAGCUCCUGCUGCAUGGUGGGGGUUGGACAGUUUCGGCGGUUGGGGAUGGACUCGCGGCUUAUCAGCUUGUUGGUGGGGUAGUGGCUUACCAAGGCUUUGACGGGUAGCCGGCCUGAGAGGGUGACCGGCCACAUUGGGACUGAGAUACGGCCCAGACUCCUACGGGAGGCAGCAGUGGGGAAUAUUGCACAAUGGGCGGAAGCCUGAUGCAGCAACGCCGCGUGCGGGAUGACGGCCUUCGGGUUGUAAACCGCUUUCGCCUGUGACGAAGCGUGAGUGACGGUAAUGGGUAAAGAAGCACCGGCUAACUACGUG
RNAcentral lists this ribosomal RNA (468 nucleotides) under uncultured bacterium. Its description in RNAcentral is "partial 16S ribosomal RNA". It matches the Rfam family "Bacterial small subunit ribosomal RNA", at positions 28 to 507 of the family's 1533-position model. The record is from RNAcentral.